Molecule: ribosomal RNA, 989 nt
Filed under: uncultured organism
Description: SSU rRNA
Rfam family: Bacterial small subunit ribosomal RNA
Source: RNAcentral
CCAUAUGAAUAAUGAUCGGCUAACUCCGAGCCCGCAACCGCCGCAAUACGGAGGAUCCGAGCGUUAUCNGGAUUAUUGGGUUUAAAGGGAGCGUAGAUGGGUUGUUAAGUCAGUUGUGAAAGUUUGCGGCUCAACCGUAAAAUUGCAAUUGAUACUGGCAGUCUUGAGUACAGUUGAGGUAGGCGGAAUUCGUGGUGUAGCGGUGAAAUGCUUAGAUAUCACGAAGAACUCCGAUUGCGAAGGCAGCUUACUAACCUGUAACUGACAUUGAUGCUCGAAAGUGUGGGUAUCAAACAGGAUUAGAUACCCUGGUAGUCCACACGGUAAACGAUGAAUACUCGCUGUAGGCGAUAUACGGUCUGCGGCCAAGCGAAAGCAUUAAGUAUUCCACCUGGGGAGUACGCCGGCAACGGUGAAACUCAAAGGAAUUGACGGGGGCCCGCACAAGCGGAGGAACAUGUGGUUUAAUUCGAUGAUACGCGAGGAACCUUACCCGGGCUUAAAUUGCAACCGAAUAUGGCGGAAACGCCAUAGCUAGCAAUAGCGGUUGUGAAGGUGCUGCAUGGUUGUCGUCAGCUCGUGCCGUGAGGUGUCGGCUUAAGUGCCAUAACGAGCGCAACCCUUGCCGAUAGUUACUAACAGGUUAUGCUGAGGACUCUGUCGGGACUGCCAUCGUAAGAUGUGAGGAAGGUGGGGAUGACGUCAAAUCAGCACGGCCCUUACGUCCGGGGCUACACACGUGUUACAAUGGGGGGUACAGAGGGCUGCUACCACGCAAGUGGAUGCCAAUCCCAAAAACCUCUCUCAGUUCGGAUUGAAGUCUGCAACCCGACUUCAUGAAGCUGGAUUCGCUAGUAAUCGCGCAUCAGCCACGGCGCGGUGAAUACGUUCCCGGGCCUUGUACACACCGCCCGUCAAGCCAUGGGAGCCGGGGGUACCUGAAGUGCGUAACCGCAAGGAGCGCCCUAGGGUAAAACUGGUGACUGGGG